UAAGUAAGUGGUGGAAAUUAAACCAACUGGGAUCUCUUCAGUAAUUGCGCAUGAACCAGGAUAUGCUUAGCUUGAAAAAUGGAGCUGCUGGCUCUGAAUUGUAAUUGUGGGAAUGUAUUACCAACAGAGGUGCAGGUGUCAGCCAUUUGAAAGAAAGCAUCAAUGAGGGUGAGAGUCCUGUUUGUCAUGUGCAGUCCUUCUGUGCACGGUGUAUAUUUGCUGAGUCACACUCCUUGGCAUUGGAAUGCAAAGUGGGUGGUAAGUUUCAUGCAAAGGUAAAUAUGCAAUUGAGACUGAUAGCGCACAAGUACCAUGAGGGACAUAUGAAAAGGACUUUGAACAGAGAAUUAAAUGAGUUUGUAUUUGCUAAACACAAAGUAAACAGACUUGAUUUCCUCAGUGAGAUUGUAGUGCUUGCUURACAAUGGGUUUUGGCUGCAAGUGCAAUAAUUCUUGCUUUGUGUGCCAGUUUUUAUGUGGACAUUUGAUUACCUUUGCACAUGAAUGGUAAUUUUCCUGCGGGGUGUGGAUUGCAUAUGCAUGUAAUGAUUUGCAUGUUUGUUAAAUGUGUCUGGUGUAUUUGUUUGUGUCCUUGUCCUUGAGGUUGCUUUCUCCCUUGGGCUUACAUGCCCUGGCAC
This 638-nucleotide ribosomal RNA is filed under the name Alexandrium tamarense. RNAcentral describes it as "LSU rRNA". It matches the Rfam family "Eukaryotic large subunit ribosomal RNA", at positions 43 to 628 of the family's 3401-position model. Lineage: Eukaryota; Dinophyceae; Gonyaulacales; Pyrocystaceae. The record is from RNAcentral.